Molecule: unclassified non-coding RNA, 243 nt
Filed under: Solicoccozyma phenolica
Lineage: Eukaryota; Fungi; Basidiomycota; Tremellomycetes; Filobasidiales; Piskurozymaceae
Description: partial internal transcribed spacer region
Rfam family: Eukaryotic small subunit ribosomal RNA (bases 1-46)
Source: RNAcentral
AAGUCGUAACAAGGUUUCCGUAGGUGAACCUGCGGAAGGAUCAUUAGUGAAUUAAACAUGCUUGGUGUCUUCGCUUCGGCAAGGCCCUUGCUUAAAUCACAUCCUAACACCUGUGAACUGUAAGACGUUUGAUGAGGUCUUUGGCCAAGUCAUCGUCUGCCCUUUUUUAACAAACAAUUAAUGUAACAAACGUAGUCUUAUUAUAACCUAAUAAAACUUUCAACAACGGAUCUCUUGGCUCUC